AUGCAAGGAAUGGCAAUGGCCAUUCAGCACUCGGAUAAACCAGUGAUUGUCCAAUCGGAUUCCUCAUGUGCUCUAGCCACUAUUUUGGAUGACACUUUAUCUAGGUCGGUCUAUGGUCAUUUAGAUGCCGAGAUUAAGGCACUUCUAGUUGAUAGGGAGUCUGUUCCUCUGAAAAUUAGUAAAGAUCAAAACAGAGUAGCUCAUCUUUUGGCACAUUAUAAUCGUACCGAGUGUUAUACUGCGGUAUGGUUGAGUUCGAGUCCUCCGUGUUGUGAGGAGCAGCUGGCUCAAGAUUGUAACCCUGCUUUUAUGGAAUAA
RNAcentral lists this ribosomal RNA (318 nucleotides) under Triticum aestivum (bread wheat). RNAcentral describes it as "partial small subunit ribosomal RNA". The record is from RNAcentral. Lineage: Eukaryota; Viridiplantae; Streptophyta; Magnoliopsida; Poales; Poaceae.